This 18-nucleotide unclassified non-coding RNA is filed under the name Chlamydomonas reinhardtii. RNAcentral describes it as "small RNA Cre_1136". The record is from RNAcentral. Lineage: Eukaryota; Viridiplantae; Chlorophyta; Chlorophyceae; Chlamydomonadales; Chlamydomonadaceae.
CCGUGGCGUGAUGGCGCG